UUUAGACUUAUAUAUAAUCAAGAAAAAAAGUAGUUAUCUUCUUCAUAACUCAAAGAAUUUGGCGGUUAAUAAAAAUUAUUAGAGGAACCUGUAUUAUAAUUGAUAAUCCACGAUAGUUAAUACCUUAUUUAUAUUUGUAUAUCUCUAUGGAAUAUAGAUUAUUUAAAAAAAAUAUUUUCUUUGAGUAUAAUCAUUUAUUUUAGGUCAAGGUGCAGUUUUAAUCAGGUAAAUAUGGGUUACUUUAUUAGUAAAUUUAUAUUAAACUAGAUGUUUAAAUUAUUUUAGGAUUUAAAAGUAAUAUAAAACAAAUUAGUUUUUAUGAAUAAUUAUUUAUUAGUGU
This 340-nucleotide ribosomal RNA is filed under the name Aconophora ferruginea. RNAcentral describes it as "partial 12S small subunit ribosomal RNA". Lineage: Eukaryota; Metazoa; Arthropoda; Insecta; Hemiptera; Membracidae. The record is from RNAcentral.